UCAACUGUGUUUUUUUCUGAAAGCCUCAGUAGAUGGCAGCCUCUCUUCAAUCCCAAUUGGCUUUGGAAGCUAAGCAGGAUUAGACCUGGUUAUAAGAUGGAUGGGAGACCAGUAGGAAAUCCCAGGACUGUAGAUGAC
Molecule: ribosomal RNA, 138 nt
Filed under: Notechis scutatus (mainland tiger snake)
Lineage: Eukaryota; Metazoa; Chordata; Lepidosauria; Squamata; Elapidae
Source: RNAcentral